This 68-nucleotide ribosomal RNA is filed under the name Beta vulgaris subsp. vulgaris (sugar beet). The record is from RNAcentral. Lineage: Eukaryota; Viridiplantae; Streptophyta; Magnoliopsida; Caryophyllales; Amaranthaceae.
UUAAGCAUGCUUGGGCGAGAGUAGUACUAGGAUGGGUGACCUCGUGGGAAGUCCUUGUGUUGCACCCC